This 253-nucleotide ribosomal RNA is filed under the name uncultured bacterium. RNAcentral's name for it is "partial 16S ribosomal RNA". It matches the Rfam family "Bacterial small subunit ribosomal RNA", at positions 524 to 776 of the family's 1533-position model. The record is from RNAcentral.
UACGUAGGGUGCGAGCGUUAAUCGGAAUUACUGGGCGUAAAGAGCUCGUAGGUGGUUUGUCGCGUUGUUCGUGAAAACUCACAGCUUAACUGUGGGCGUGCGGGCGAUACGGGCAGACUGGAGUACUGCAGGGGAGACUGGAAUUCCUGGUGUAGCGGUGAAAUGCGCAGAUAUCAGGAGGAACACCGAUGGCGAAGGCAGGUCUGUGGGCCGAUACUGACGCUGAGGAGCGAAAGCGUGGGGAGCAAACAGG